AUACCACUUCACUGAGAAACAGUUGGUCUGGCAUUUAUUUUACACGGUGAUUUCGAACAGCUGUUUAAGCGACACAAUCGCCGCAACGACACUGUGAAGUCUACAGUUAUUUGUAUUAGUUAAACGCCGAUGAGAAACAAACUACCUCAAAGGGAAGUCAGCAGGCGGACAUCAUGCCCAGAGGAGCGAUAAUAACAGUUUUUCUGAGAGACUGAGUGAGAGGCUAAAAAAAUAGACCAGGUUUUAACAGAAAAUCAAUAAAGGCACAAGUUCUCUGUCAUGAACAUCGUUUUGAUGCCUGAACUUACCUCUAAUAUCCUGCUCAAGUACUGGAGGGGCCCUCUCAUCGUUGGUGCCGUCCACCUUUUUAACUUAUUGACACAUCAUAACAGUUCAGCACUAGCUGUACCAAACACAGCUGCGUCAAGCUCCCUACAAGCGGUACACGAAUCCGGAAACAAAGACUUGUCGCACACUAAACAAUUUUACGAAUCAAAACUGAGCGUGAUGAGGGUAAAUCCGGAUCUGGACUCCUUUCCCACCAUCAGCAGAAGAACCGAAGGAGAAGAAGCGCCAACCAACAACCAGAACAGGGUGGAAGCUCUGACACCACAGCAGCUGGAGGACACAGACCACAGCAUGGACGCCUCAGCGACUCCCACAACGUCUGCAGCCAUCACGUUCUGGGCUCAUCAGAUGAACCAGCUACUACAAGCGUGUGUGUCUGACACAGACACCUGCUUAUGACAAUCAGCAAAGGAAAACAAGGACAGAGAAACAGCAGAGUGAGCGCCAUCUGAGAAGAUGAUGAUUUACAGUCUGAUGGGUUUUAUAUUAUUAUACUAUUUUAACUUGCAACAAAUUCAGUAAUUAAAUCCUCCAUGUUUCUAAAAAGAUUUGUGCACACUAUAGGUUUGUCUGGCCAGACUGUAAAAAAAACAAAAAAAAACAAAACAAAAACAAAACCAGACUAUAGGAAGACUGAAACUGACUGAAAUCGACUGAAACAGACUAUUAAUGACUAUUAGAGAGGAGUAAUAAUAAUUACUGUACGUACCAGACUAUUAAAAAAAAACUUAUUCUUUCACUGUCUUGUGCAACAUCUGACAGCAAGACACCUUAAGAUUUAUUUUUGCUUUCAAACUUGUGCCCAGUUAAAUUCUUAAGAAGAGAUCUCAUGUGUAGUUUAGGUAUUUGAUUGAUUUCCACUCCAGACGGAGUGCAGGUUACAUCUACAGACAUUCUAAAUAAUCCCUCUUUUGUUGGUGUUAACUUCAGCUCAGCUGUUCUCUUAUCAUUGGCUGCUGAGGGGGGGCUGUAACUGAGGCCCUCACACAGGCUGCAUCACAGCUUGUUUCCCCAUGUGAUACGACCUCCAGAGACGCAUCUGACCUGUCCUGUACAGCACAUGUGUCUUCUGGUCCUGAUGAUGAGUUUGAAGAGUUAUGAUUUCACACACACACACACACACACACACACACACACACACACACACACACACACACACACACACACACACACACACACACACACACACACACACACACACACACACAAACUGUCCUCAACUUCCCUCUUUUGGGAUGAACACAGGUCUGCGCUUGCGAUUUCUUUUACUAACGAAGAAAAAGAUUUUUGAUUAUUAUUCUACAGUUCCACACGUCCCUCUGUGAAAACAUGAUGAAGACAGAUGCAGGACGUGGGUCCUUUCGUGAACAGAUGUCAACGGGGUGGAGACUGGUGAACG
Betta splendens (Siamese fighting fish) is the source of this 1747-nucleotide long non-coding RNA. NCBI's taxonomy places the organism in Eukaryota, Metazoa, Chordata, Actinopteri, Anabantiformes, Osphronemidae. The record is from Ensembl.